UCUCUCUCUCUCCCUCCGCCCCCCCUCCCCCCCUCUCUCUCUCUCUCUCUCGAUAGCCCUUUUGUUUCACGGAAAGGUAAUCUUCUGAGAUCCCUUAUGUGCACACGCUUUUGGUUUCCUCUUCCAUUGAUUCAGCCUGUAUAGUUUGUCUGUCUUGCUUUUGGCUCUUUCUACGGGACAGAUUUUGAGGGUUUUGUUUAUUACGUCUCACCUUCUCUGGUUAGGAAUUGAAAAGGUUCUGAGAUUGGUCUUCAGUGUUCUCAAUUCCUGAAUACCCCCUUCUUUUUUUUUUUUUUUUUGAUUCGUUUCAAGAUAAAGAUUUGAGUAUUAUUUAGCUAAGAUCAGUCCCGUGUAUGUGCUGGGGAGUUUGUUUACAUGGAGAUGCUAUGAAGUGAUUUUGUUGAUUUCGUUUGUUUGCAAUUCCAUAUACAUCAGUAGCAGAACCGUAUAGGAGGCGGGGCAUAUUUUAAACAUGGGGGAAGAUUUACUCACUAGCUUAUCAAUUGAGAAUUAUCACCCGUCAACAUUCUUAUCAAUGGAUCCAAUUGCCAAUUCACAUGAGGAAUCAGACCGAGACAUGAACCGGCAGGUCGUCCCCUGCCGCCCACCUGACAUUAAUCUCCCACUGACAGUGGAUCGUAGUCCUCCACUUCAACCAUGGAGCCAUGAUGCGUUUGAUAUGUUAGACGUUGGUCUUGGGCAUCAAAUUAAUGAAUCUGAUACCUUGAUGUAUAUGUCCAAGAGUGAGCGGAAAUGUGCUAAGCGAUUAGAUAGCAUAUGGGGUGCUUGGUUUUUCUUUAGUUUCUACUUCAAGCCUGUUUUGAAGGAUAAAUCAAAAUGCAACACGGUCCGAGAUGGUAAUGGGGUCUCUGGGUUUGACAAGUCAAAUCUCCAACUUGAUGUCUUUCUGGUCCAGCAUGAUAUGGAGAACAUGUAUAUGUGGGUUUUUAAGGAGAGACCGGAUAAUGCAUUAGGUAAGAUGCAGUUGAGAAGUUACAUGAAUGGACAUUCUCGCCAGGGUGAGCGUCCAUUUCCAUUUAGUGUUGACAAGGGCUUUGUACGAUCUCACAGAAUGCAGCGUAAACAUUAUAGGGGCCUUUCAAAUCCUCAGUGUGUGCACGGGAUUGAGCUUGUUUCGUCCCCUAAUCUUCUGGGUCUUGAUGAGGAAGAGCAAAAGAAGUGGAUGGAACUAACGGGCAGGGAUCUGAAUUUCUCUAUCCCUCCUGAAGCAAGGGAUUAUAGCUCAUGGAGGAAUAUUCCAAUCACAGAUUUUGAGCUUGAGAGACCACUUCCUCCAUUGAGGAGCAAUCCACAACCCUCUUCAAAGAAGCUGCACAAUGGGUCUGGAUUGAAUUUGUCACCGUUAGACCAUGUAAAUGGCAAUGGAAUAGAGCUUUUACCUGCUUGCAACAAGAGGAGGAAGGAUGUCUUUUCACAUGGUCACGAUGAAGAUUGCUGUUUGCCUGUUAAUCCUCAAGAUACAGUUGUCCACCCGAUUGAGCCACCUUGGACAAAUGAGUUUAGUGGAGUAAUGAGGAAUAUAUAUGGUCCUGUUACAGCUGCCAAAACUAUCUACGAGGAUGAAGAAGGAUACUUAAUUAUCAUUUCCUUGCCUUUUGCUGAUCCUGAAAAGGUAAAGGUUCAUUGGUGGAACAAUCUCACUCAUGGCGUGGUGAAGAUAUCAUCAGUCAGCACAACAUGCAUGCCCUUUGUCCAGAGAAAUGACAGAACUUUCAAGCUCACUGAUCCAUCUCCUGAGCACUGUCCUCCUGGGGAAUUCAAAAGGGAAAUCCCCCUUGCCACUCGAAUUCCUGAUGAUGCGAAACUAGAAGCAUACUUUGACAAAAGCGGAACAAUACUAGAGAUUUUAGUGCCCAAACACCGAGCAGGGCCAGAAGAGCAUGAGGUUCCUGUUUGCCUUCGCUCUCCCAAUGAGUUUGUCUUGUCUUGAAUGUGGCAUUUGGUUGGAGAAAUGUAAGGGUAGCUGAUCAAUCUUUAGCACUUACUAUAUCCAAAAUAGUAAAAAUUCCUACAAUCAACAUGAUCCUCACUAAUUUUGAAACAUUCAUCACUACUAUUUAGAGAGUCCUUUUCUUUUCUUGUUUACUUGGAUAGUCUUUUGACUUCUGACUCAAUUAACUCAAUAACUGAUUAUUGUGGCUUUAUUUUGUUCUAUGUGAGUAGCUUUAGUCUGGGAUUGGUCCUCUGCAUAGGAAGUUGAACUGCAAAGAUCUGUGGUAAGGAUCUGGCUACUCCAUUGAUAAGCUUCUUUAUUUAAGAGGAAUUUGGAAUCAGUUUAAUACCAUAUUAUCCUGUGAUGUUCCAGGUUUUGGAAGCAAUUAUAUAUCACUUCUUGUGAUUGUAGUCUCGCAUUUGGUAUUUUGUGAUGAUGGUGGAAAAAUAGCAACGUGGUGUGCUUUUUAUCAUGAUGUACAGUGUUGAAUGCAACUUUUCUAUUUGGAUGAAUCAAAUAAACAAGAUGUUUACAGAAUUACAGUGUUGGGGCAAUCCUGUUCUGUAUAUUUAAGUGAGUUUUGUGUGUAAUUUUGAUGUAUGCAGUUAAGAAUUGGAUCAUUUGUUAUAUGUUGUGAAUUACUCUUGUAGUCCCAUUCAGUUCCAAGUCAACUUACUAUCUUUACUUAUUUCUUCUUUUUCUUCCCCAAACCCUUCUCUUCCUGUUACGGUAGCAAAUCAUAACAAUGUGAUAUUUGUUGGAUAAUGAAGAUUAUGCUCAAAAGAUGGCACUAGUACAGUAAUUGAAGAUUGGAGAAGAAUCAUAUAUGCUUCAAAAGUCUGCAUUCCAUAACCUUUGUUUGGGAGCAUGAUUACCGUCAAGUAAUUAGCCAUAUCAAGGAAAAAUGCCCCAUUCCCUGCCAGGUUUUUGAGGAAGAAGACCUUGGAGAAGGGGAAGGUGGAGUUUGUUCUAGAUUAAUGUUGGAGUAGGACUCAUGAAGCUUAUAGCUCUACAAGGGAAAAAGAAAAAAACUUUCUCGGAGUUUAUUUGCCAAUUUUUGUAGAAAAUUUCACUGGGUAAAAAUUUGGUAAUAUAGGUGAUUAAACAUUGUGGAUGCGGGAAUCAAGUUUUGGGUUUUCUCAGGGUUUAUAAAUGCUAGUUUUGGUGGAUAAUAAACGUUGGUAAUAUGUGUAUGUUCCUCUGUUUGCUUUCUUUUUGGUUAAUCUUUCCCUUGUUUCCUUGAAAACCCCAGUUAUUCUCAAAGUAGAACAGCAAAGUUUUUUGGUUGUUCUUUCUCAAACCCUGGUAAAUAUGAAUAAACACCAGCAAUUGUUUCAAUGUGCAAAACUACACCAUUUUCACAAAACCCUAUCCCAUUCCAUGCCUGAAUCCCCCACCCAUUUUUUCUUUCCCUCAUUCCCUGUGAGGUGUUUUGUGUUUGGUUCUCUCUCCUUCUCAUUUCCACAUGAAUCCCCCUCCCUUUUUCCCUCUUUGCUUUCGGAUGCUUCAUCACCGUGUCAUCAUGAGUCUGCUGCUGGAAGGAAUUCUCUGCUGCUAUCGCCGAUCAUCUUUUAUGGAGGGAUGGUUCCUUGCUGUUUUGCUUCUUCAGGCAAUGAUGAGGAUGCAAAAAACAUGCCUACUACGUCAUCUUCAUCAUAUGACCCAUCUUUCAUACCCACUCCUUGGAAUGACGCAAUGAUGCGUUUACAAAUGACUAAGACAUUCUAGAUCAGUGGUGGUAUUUUUUGACCUUUUCGGAAUUACAAAAGCGGACUAGUUUUCCUGUCAUAGCCUUUGGCGGGGCCUUCAUGAUCAAGCGUCAAAAAUUGCCGGGAAAACUAUUUCGAAGGUUUUUUUUUAUGUCGAACUUCCCCAGCAUUUUGUAAACGGACAGGGAAGGCCUUAUUCUGUAUCAACCCCCUAUGAGAGGUCUUUGGUUCUUUACUUCACAUGUUUGUUUCGUGGUUCAAAUAUGGAUGAAGAAAAUGACCACUUCCAACCAGCUUGAAAGAAUUGAGUCACGAUUCACGAACGCAUGGCCGCAACCAACAUCGCAUAUUGUUCAAGUUAAUUGGAUCUUUUUUCCAUGCAAACUGUUUAAUCUAAUUUAGUUCUAGUGACGGUCUAGAGUUAUGGUGGCUCGAAGCCCCAUAUCUUACUCUACUACUUUAGUAAUGAGAUAAGAGAAGCAACAUAAUUUUUAAAAAACAAAAAAAAAUACUGUCCAUUGAUGGUAAGCCAAAAAAAUAGGGAAAAAAAAAAAAAAAAGAACAGGGAGAACAC
Molecule: RNA transcript, 4237 nt
Organism: Diospyros lotus (date-plum)
Lineage: Eukaryota; Viridiplantae; Streptophyta; Magnoliopsida; Ericales; Ebenaceae
Exons: 3
Source: RefSeq, a predicted model, not a curated record